Molecule: non-coding RNA, 310 nt
Organism: Pelobates cultripes (western spadefoot toad)
Lineage: Eukaryota; Metazoa; Chordata; Amphibia; Anura; Pelobatidae
Source: the annotation of a GenBank genome assembly
CCCAUGUAGCGUAACAGGAUCACUAUAUUGUCAGGAAAACAAAACUCCCGUGGCGCUGAAGGGGUUAAAACCCCUUCAGCAGCUUACCUUAAUCAAGCGCCGGGCUCCCUCGGCGCUGGUGACUUCUCCUGCCCUGCCGACGUCAGCUUCCCCGUCCGACGUCAAAUUUUUAAAUCGUUAUAAAGACACAAGGGCAAAACUGUUGAGGGAAUGGAAAAGCAUUGGUAUUUCUUGGUUGGGAAGAGUGAAUAUUAUUAAGUCAUAUAUUCUCCCUAAAUGGGCUUAUGUUUUUAGAAUGCUACUUUUAUCU